Non-coding RNA from Zygosaccharomyces rouxii, 108 nucleotides. NCBI's taxonomy places the organism in Eukaryota, Fungi, Ascomycota, Saccharomycetes, Saccharomycetales, Saccharomycetaceae. The record is from Rfam.
AGGAAGUUCUUUCCUUUGUUUAUAUGAUGACUCUGAGUGCAUUUGGCUCGAGACCUUUUUGGUCGGUGUGGAAAAUUCCAAGCUACCUAUACAUUAUUUUGUCUGAUC